Molecule: ribosomal RNA, 255 nt
Filed under: uncultured bacterium
Lineage: Bacteria
Description: partial 16S ribosomal RNA
Rfam family: Bacterial small subunit ribosomal RNA
Source: RNAcentral
UACGUAGGUGGCAAGCGUUGUCCGGAUUUACUGGGCGUAAAGAGCGCGCAGGCGGUCGAUCAAGUCGAGUGUGAAAGCCCCCCGGCUCAACUGGGGAGGGUCAUUCGAUACUGAUCGACUCGAAGGCAGGAGAGGGUAGUGGAAUUCCCGGUGUAGUGGUGAAAUGCGUAGAUAUCGGGAGGAACACCAGUGGCGAAGGCGACUACCUGGCCUGUUCUUGACGCUGAGGCGCGAAAGCUAGGGGAGCAAACGGGG